CUGGCUCAGGAUGAACGCUGGCGGCGUGCCUAACACAUGCAAGUCGAGCGAUCUCUCGGAAGAGAGCGGCGGACGGGUGAGUAACGCGUGGGUAACCUGCCCUGUACACACGGAUAACAUACCGAAAGGUAUGCUAAUACGGGAUAACAUACUUUUAUCGCAUGGUAGAAGUAUCAAAGCUCCGGCGGUAUAGGAUGGACCCGCGUCUGAUUAGCUAGUUGGUAAGGUAACGGCUUACCAAGGCGACGAUCAGUAGCCGACCUGAGAGGGUGAUCGGCCACAUUGGAACUGAGACACGGUCCAAACUCCUACGGGAGGCAGCAGUGGGGAAUAUUGCACAAUGGGCGAAAGCCUGAUGCAGCAACGCCGCGUGAGCGAUGAAGGCCUUCGGGUCGUAAAGCUCUGUCCUCAAGGAAGAUAAUGACGGUACUUGAGGAGGAAGCCCCGGCUAACUACGUGCCAGCAGCAGC
RNAcentral lists this ribosomal RNA (470 nucleotides) under uncultured bacterium. RNAcentral's name for it is "bacterial SSU rRNA". It matches the Rfam family "Bacterial small subunit ribosomal RNA", at positions 19 to 518 of the family's 1533-position model. The record is from RNAcentral.